CAAUAUACAGCUAUGGAAACACAUUAUCAUAUUACUGAGGUUACCAAUGUGAUUUAAUAAAUUAUAAUAACAACACACCUUGUCUUUCGUAUCUCUUCACUGCAUGUACUGAAUGCCAAUGGGCGGUGAAAAGAUGAAGUGCUAAGAGAGAUCACGUCCAGUCUACCGGAAGAAGGCCAGGUGGAGUUGGGAUGAUUAAUUAACAAUUUUCCUUUGCUGCUAAACUGUGAAGUGCGAACGGAAACGUUUUCUCACGUCGGUGAAAGCAGAAGAAGACACUUACGGGUGAAACGGCCGGGAUAGUUAGCAGGUUAUUCUGUGCUGCUAAGGGCACGAGCUACUGGGUCUUUGCUAGGUAACUUUGCUGGCAGCAGCCGAAGAUUUCCUGAGAAGCAGGUGCUGAAAGGACUGAGAACAGAAACUGAGAAGGAGGACAGGAGAGAACUGGGACGCUUGAGUUACCUGUGGUGUCAAGUCAAGAUCAGUGGGAAGCGUUUGGAAGUGGUUCCUGAAAACCUUUUCCAGCACGAAGGAGGAAAUUCCUCCCAGACCGACCAGAGUUUUAAGUCAGAGCUCUGAGGAAAUGAGAGCUUUGGACUUCCACUGCUCUCCAGGAGCUGGCCAUGGUGGCAGGAGUCAAAGAGAGGCUGUCCAGAGGUCCUUCUCCACAGCCAUGUCCUCUGUCUGGGCAGGUGCCAGAUGGGAUUUAUAAUCCCUCCAGCACGUCUUGGAUCCGCCCUGCGGUCGUCUCUCAGCGGGAUGCACCCAAAAUACCUCCAUAGCCAAACCAUGCAGACAGCUCAGAGCAAAUAACAAGUCACUCCCUGUGGAUGUUUGAAGAUGACGGAGCGACCGGAGCGACGAGGGAGGGAAUGCACUCUGAUUGUUCUCAGUCUUGAAGCCAACAUUAUAUUUCCAUCCAUAUAUUUGCACCAGGAUUAUUUUCAGAUUUUUCUGAUAUUCUUGUUUUUGUUGUCAUACAUAUAGACAAAAGGAACAGCAGUUAAAAACAAGACUUUAGUAUCUCAUUUGAAGGUAGGGUAGGUAAAUGGCAUGUGUGUGUAAUCACUAGUUUGACAUCCUCAUCCUAGUGUCCUAGGAAUUACAUCCACUUUUCCCAGAAGACCAUUUGUUAAUUUUUAAUAGUGGCAUGGAAAGCUGCUCUCCCCUCCAGCAAAAGAAUACUGUAGCUCCAAGAUGAAACUGACACAAUGAUAAG
Scatophagus argus is the source of this 1219-nucleotide long non-coding RNA. RefSeq lists it as uncharacterized. The record is from RefSeq and is a predicted model, not a curated record. Lineage: Eukaryota; Metazoa; Chordata; Actinopteri; Scatophagidae. The transcript has 4 exons.